Molecule: ribosomal RNA, 478 nt
Filed under: uncultured bacterium
Lineage: Bacteria
Description: SSU rRNA
Rfam family: Bacterial small subunit ribosomal RNA
Source: RNAcentral
AGGAUUAACGCUGGCGGCGUGCAUGAAACAUGCAAGUCGAGCGCGGUGCGUGGCUUCGGUCACGCAUCUAGCGGCGAACGGGUGAGUAACACGUGAGCAACCUACCUUUGAGACCGGAAUAGCUCUGGGAAACCAGGAUUAAUGCCGGAUGUGGUCACGACGGGACAUCCCGACGUGAGUAAAGGGGCAACCCGCUCAAUGACGGGCUCGCGGCCUAUUAGCUUGUUGGUGGGGUAACGGCCUACCAAGGCUGUGAUGGGUAGCUGGUCUGAGAGGACGAACAGCCACACUGGGACUGAGACACGGCCCAGACUCCUACGGGAGGCAGCAGUUAGGAAUUUUCCGCAAUGGGCGAAAGCCUGACGGAGCAACGCCGCGUGAGUGAUGAAGACCCUUGGGUUGUAAAGCUCUGUCGGAGGGGAAGAAAUAAUGACGGUACCCUCCAAGAAGCCCCGGCUAACUACGUGCCAGCAGCCGC